GAUGAACGCUAGCUACAGGCUUAACACAUGCAAGUCGAGGGGAAACGAUAGAGAAAGCUUGCUUUUUCUAGGCGUCGACCGGCGCACGGGUGAGUAACGCGUAUCCAACCUGCCCAUCACUUGGGGAUAACCUUGCGAAAGUAAGACUAAUACCCAAUGACGUCUCUAGAAGACAUCUGAGAGAGAUUAAAGAUUUAUCGGUGAUGGAUGGGGAUGCGUCUGAUUAGCUUGUUGGCGGGGUAACGGCCCACCAAGGCGACGAUCAGUAGGGGUUCUGAGAGGAAGGUCCCCCACAUUGGAACUGAGACACGGUCCAAACUCCUACGGGAGGCAGCAGUGAGGAAUAUUGGUCAAUGGACGAGAGUCUGAACCAGCCAAGUAGCGUGCAGGAUGACGGCCCUAUGGGUUGUAAACUGCUUUUAUAAGGGAAUAAAGUGAGUCUCGUGAGACUUUUUGCAUGUACCUUAUGAAUAAGGACCGGCUAAUUCCGUGCCAG
Molecule: ribosomal RNA, 496 nt
Filed under: uncultured bacterium
Lineage: Bacteria
Description: bacterial SSU rRNA
Rfam family: Bacterial small subunit ribosomal RNA
Source: RNAcentral